This 83-nucleotide transfer RNA is filed under the name Cordyceps fumosorosea ARSEF 2679. RNAcentral's name for it is "Isaria fumosorosea ARSEF 2679 tRNA". It matches the Rfam family "tRNA". From Rfam's summary of the family: Transfer RNA (tRNA) molecules are approximately 80 nucleotides in length. Their secondary structure includes four short double-helical elements and three loops (D, anti-codon, and T loops). Further hydrogen bonds mediate the characteristic L-shaped molecular structure. tRNAs have two regions of fundamental functional importance: the anti-codon, which is responsible for specific mRNA codon recognition, and the 3' end, to which the tRNAs corresponding amino acid is attached (by aminoacyl-tRNA synthetases). tRNAs cope with the degeneracy of the genetic code in two manners: having more than one tRNA (with a specific anti-codon) for a particular amino acid; and 'wobble' base-pairing, i.e. permitting non-standard base-pairing at the 3rd anti-codon position. The record is from Rfam by way of RNAcentral. Lineage: Eukaryota; Fungi; Ascomycota; Sordariomycetes; Hypocreales; Cordycipitaceae.
GCCUGGUUAGCUCAAUCGGUAGAGCGUGAGACUCUUACGGGUUCACCAUCUCAAGGCUGCGGGUUCGACCCCCGCAUCGGGCU